CAAAUUCGGUAGCUUCAAAUGACAGAAAUGUAUUCUUUCAUGGUCCUGGAGGCUAGAAGUCACAAAUCAAGAUAUUAUCAAGUUCUGCUGUGAGUUCCUGCCUUGACAUACCUCGUGAUGGAGUAUAAACUAUCUGUAAGAUGAAAACAGAAGCAUCCUUUGUUUCACAAGUUGCUCUUUGAUCAUGAUUGUUACCACAGCAUCAACAAGCAAAUGCAUACAGUUUUGAUUCCACAGAAGUCCAACAUGGCAAAGAAACGACUACUCCUUUCCCCAGCUAUGUUGAAGUCACUGGCCCUCUGUCAGCUGCCUUAUAUGGAAUCAUCUUCCUGAACUAUACCUUAAAAGUACAUAAGAAGCAAACAUUUCAUGGAAU
This is a non-coding RNA of Myodes glareolus (Bank vole), 376 nucleotides long. The record is from RefSeq and is a predicted model, not a curated record. NCBI's taxonomy places the organism in Eukaryota, Metazoa, Chordata, Mammalia, Rodentia, Cricetidae.